GCUUACGGCCAUAUCCCGUUGAAAGCACUGGUUCUCGUCCGAUCACCGAAGUUAAGCAACAUCGAGCCUAGUUAGUACUUAGAUGGGUGACCGCUUGGGAAACCUGGAUGCUGUAAGCA
This 119-nucleotide ribosomal RNA is filed under the name Octopus vulgaris (common octopus). RNAcentral also lists the same sequence under 1 other name. Lineage: Eukaryota; Metazoa; Mollusca; Cephalopoda; Octopoda; Octopodidae. The record is from RNAcentral.